This 45-nucleotide transfer RNA is filed under the name Prorocentrum minimum. RNAcentral describes it as "partial Selenocysteine transfer RNA". The record is from RNAcentral. Lineage: Eukaryota; Dinophyceae; Prorocentrales; Prorocentraceae.
GGACGGUGGUCUCCAGAGCGGACUUCAGAUCUGCUGGGUGGCGGU